This 369-nucleotide ribosomal RNA is filed under the name uncultured bacterium. Its description in RNAcentral is "bacterial SSU rRNA". It matches the Rfam family "Bacterial small subunit ribosomal RNA", at positions 527 to 896 of the family's 1533-position model. The record is from RNAcentral.
GAACCGUCCAAACGUUGUUCGGAAUCACUGGGCUUAAAGGGCGCGUAGGCGGGUGAUCAAGUCAGGGGUGAAAUCUUUCGGCUUAACCGGAAAACAGCCCCUGAUACUGGUUGUCUUGAGGGAGGUAGGGGUCUGUGGAACUUCCGGUGGAGCGGUGAAAUGCGUUGAUAUCGGAAGGAACGCCGGUGGCGAAAGCGACGGACUGGACCUCUUCUGACGCUGAGGCGCGAAAGCUAGGGUAGCGAACGGGAUUAGAUACCCCGGUAGUCCUAGCCCUAAACGAUGGGUACUAGGUUGUAGACUUCCAUGGGUUUACAGCCGAAGCAAAAGUGGUAAGUACCCCGCCUGGGGAGUAUGGUCGCAAGGCUG